AAAAUUGUUUUGGAGGAUUUGAGUUUCGAUAAGGAUUUGGUCAACGGGGUUGACCAAAAUGGUAACACUGUUUUGCACCUUGCUGUUGCUGAUAAACAAGUUGAGGUAUUAUUAUUAUUAUUAUUAUUAUUGUUAGCAAUUUUUUCUGUGUGAUUCAAAAAAAAGAAGAAAAAUUAAGUAUAUGAUAAUUAAAUUGUAUUAAAAAUGAUAACAUUAUAUUAAAAUACGAAGUUGUGUGUUGGGUAUCCGCCCGGAGAAGACAAACCACACAAAAUCAAAAUACUCAUAUUUUAUUCGAAACAAUUAAAAUAUAAUAUAUAAUAAAUCAACUAAAUCAAUUAAUUAUAGCAUAUGACAGCAAUUACCGAAAACAAAACAAUUAUGGGAAUAAGGGUACAGGACUCUAAUUAUUACUUAUAUUAUUUAAACCUAACAACAACUGCAAAUCAUAACAAUUAUAAAGACUACAAGAAAAUCAGAAUAAUUGCAAAAAGUAGGAAACAAAUAACACAAAUAAUAAGGAAAAACUAGAGUAAUAAAGGGGAAAGAAGAACCACGGCGAAUCACACAGAUUCGUGGGAGGAUGAAUCUCUGCCGACGAUUGAGGUUCCCGGCUCAGUCUCAAUUCCCAUCCGUCCUCGUCCAAGACUCACCAGCCGCAGCCACGCACCCACCGGAACAAGCCCAAUAGCCCAAAUCCCUCUCAGAUUUCUAACCGGAAAAACCCGAAAAAACCCCAAACACACAAAGGACCAAGAGUUCGAAUAAAUCAAACACACACAGCACUCAACCCAACACCCAAACACUCACAAAGAGUUGAGACUCACAAAGAGUCGAAUCAGUCACGAAGAAAAGAUUUACGAACAAGGUGUAACGUAGGUUGAAUUUUCUUGGUCACUCUUGGUCACUGUUCUCUCACGAAGAAGAGGUCUAUUUAAUAGCCCCCAAGAACCGACUUCAACGGAAGCCACAGAUUUCAGGCGGAGAAAUCGGACCAGAAAAGAGGAAAAAAAAAAGCAGAGAGCCGAAUCGGUAUAUCGGUGGAGAGAUUAAUCGUUUUUCACGUUUUGACCCCUUAAUUGGGUCAAGACCAAUUCUCCACGUGGGCUUUUUCAAGUGUGG
Molecule: long non-coding RNA, 1122 nt
Filed under: Erythranthe guttata (spotted monkey flower)
Lineage: Eukaryota; Viridiplantae; Streptophyta; Magnoliopsida; Lamiales; Phrymaceae
Description: long non-coding RNA (EGUT_LNC000781)
Source: RNAcentral